GGGUGGUCCAAGUGCAGAGGUGUUUACAAUUAACUUAUUGCCAUUGCAAUUUCUUUGCUCUUUUUCCACUCCCAGUCUUCACCUGACUAGUCUUAA
RNAcentral lists this non-coding RNA (96 nucleotides) under Carlito syrichta (Philippine tarsier). Lineage: Eukaryota; Metazoa; Chordata; Mammalia; Primates; Tarsiidae. The record is from RNAcentral.